Long non-coding RNA from Solea senegalensis (Senegalese sole), 4388 nucleotides. RefSeq lists it as uncharacterized. The record is from RefSeq and is a predicted model, not a curated record. The transcript is spliced from 2 exons. NCBI's taxonomy places the organism in Eukaryota, Metazoa, Chordata, Actinopteri, Pleuronectiformes, Soleidae.
UCCUCCCCCUGUGGUUUUUAGUGCUUCAGUGACUUUUGCAUUUCACAGUGUAACCUUUCUGUGUCGUAUAUACAAACACAUACCAGUUGCAUCCUUUGUAGAACUACGUGGUUUGCGGAAAAAAAUGUCUUGUUUGCCAUGUUUGAAAACCAUAUUUUAUAGAGAAGUAUUUUAAUUUUGCCUCUUUUUUUUUUAUUUUUUUUUUUAGGAAAAGUCAAAAUAAUUAAAAAAAAAAAAAUAGGAAAGAAAACGAAAAACAAAAAACGCAUGCUUUUUAUGGAGAAUAAUGUAUACUACUACACACCUUAUUAUAAUAAAGAAUGUUUGGCUGACUAUUGUGACAAAAAGACAGCAAAGGGUUUGGACAUUUCCCCUUCUUCUUCUUGUUUAUGUUGUUCUUCUCUACUAUUCUGUUUCUCUUGUGUAAAAUGACCACCAGACCCAUUUGACUGGGGACCCGGGGUGGAGACAGGUGUAGAUGUUGGCCGCAGCUUUGCUCUCUUUGGUCGGGGUAAGUGCGGGUUGGUGCUCCUUUCUCUCCCCAGCCUCUCAUGAUGUUUGCAAACUGGCAGAGAAAGAAAAAAAAAAAGGUUUGCAUUUCAGUGGUGAAUUCUGGCAAUCACAGGUGUCCUUUAAUACUUUUAUUUUCAUGCAAAAAAAAAAAAGGACAAAAAUCACGUUGAGAGCUGGGGAGAGGCACACAGAUGGAAUGGCUUGGGUGCAUUUUGAUCUGUGGAGCCGUCCUGUUCCUGGGGGUUGAUGGGUGUGCGUCUGGUCUGGUCUGGUCUCCUCCCUGCUCCACCAAAUCCCGCCCCCUCCCUCCCUCCCUCCCUCCCUCUUCUCGUGUGUCUUUGUGUCCACUCUACUCUCAGACCUGCAUGUGUGAUCAUCUGUAACUUUGCCGCAAAAAAAAAACAAACAAACAAAAACAGAACACACAAAAAGCCCCGACAGUCCAGCUCUGAACUAACUAUCUCAACUGAAUUAGGUCACCGUGCCACCUGGAACGGGCAGCGAGCAGCCUUGUGUUUGGCAGCGUGGGGACAACUUUUAUCGCAACAACCAACGCAGCGGGAACUUGUUCUCUCUCUCCUCCUCCUCCUCCUCUUCACCACCAAGAGGCGUGCCCAUGGACAGUGUAUGUGUGGACUCAGAGGGACUUCAGUGAUGGACGAGUCGCUUUGCUGAGUGCUGUGGUUUUUGCUCGGCACGGCUGUGAAAAAGGGAUCUUAGCUUCAAUAGAGAAUCAAAAUCAAAAACACUCAACCUCCACCUGCAGAGGUUAACAAUUUCCUAACCCUCGCAAUCCCUCGCAGCCUGUGCGCCAAUCAGAAACGUCCUAUAAGAUACGGCCGGGGUGUGAGGCCAGUCUGACCUGUAGAUUCUCAUCAAUCUCAGGGUUCCUAUAGGACUUCUCUGGGAUGGCGGCUCUGUUUCUGUAAUCCCUGCGAUCACCUGGGACUGGCUGGAUAUGUGUUCUGUGCGUGUUCUUACCUGGUAAGAUUGCGCUUGUGCUGAGGCGGAGAGCUUUAACCGUCGCGCGCGAACGCGACAGCUGUGGGAUGCAGUCGAGACAAAGAGGGGCUUUGUCUUCUGCCUAACAAAGAAAAGGAAAAAUGGUAGAAGGAGUGGAAUGAAUUAAAAAAAAAAAUGAGUUGAACAUAAGGUGAGUUGACAGAAAACUCUGCUCCUAACCCCACUUUCCUGAUCUUGGAGGAUGUUUUUGUUGAAUGCAAUAAUACAUUUCUCACUCCAAAAAAGGUCCUGUUUAUUAUCAUAGUGAGUCCUGAUGAGUGACGCUGCUUUGCCUCUUUAGCCAAGUUCACACUAUGCGACCUUCAGAGUCGGAGGACCGCGUCGGUCAUAAAGACACGUUUUUUGAAAACAGGUUCGUUCAUACUACGCGCAUCAGCAACCGUCAGGUACUGCAAAUGUUUCUCCACCGCCAAUCAAGAGCUGAUUGUGACGAAUAGCUCAAUCUUAUCUUUUGUUUUUUUUAGAUAUGUAGAUAUUACAUGACCACAAGAUGGUCAUUUUCAUCUUUGUUUGUCGUUCCAGAUUGAGUAGAUUCUUGGCCUCCAUGAUCAGGACAUGCUUUUUUUCCCACCAUAUGUUGUUCCUCCUUUCACCACUCUCCCAAAUCCUCACUAUAAAGGUUAAUUCAGCUCAGCUGCUUGUGCGUCUGGGCUUCCUGUGCUUGGGUGAAUGCAGCCACGCAUCUCUGAAACCCCCGCCUCCUCUGUACUGACAGCUAAAGCUCGCUGCGGCCUCCUCCCUACUUCUUACUCCCUCCCUCCCGCCUUCCCUCCCAGAUGUUCUAGUCUGUGUGUACACACCUUUUUGUUUUGUGUUGUUCUGGCGGGAUUCCACAGGUUUAUCAGCUGAGACGCACAAGUAUGCAGCUCUGGGCGUUCACCUACUGCUGUUAGGUUUGAGCACAAACUCGCGAGCCUUGUUUCUUCUAAGUGAUACUGUUCCGCUCAGUUCGGUAAGCUAAACGCUCAAAGGGUUGCGAAGGGCACCAAAACCCAUGAAUCUGUAUCGUCGCUUGGUACGUAACGGGUGACACAAAUUCCUGCGUUAGGCACGGGUGGCGUUUGGUCCUAGAGGUAGCUAUCGGAGAUUAUUAGGACCAUGUCUGUCAUGGCUGACGACAUAGCAAGAGUUGCUAAUCUUGCUAAAGAGUCGGCAAUGUCCGCCAUUGUUGGCUGCCAGCUGCAGCUAAACGCAUGCAUUUGAUUUGAGUAUCCUUGCGUACCCUUUUCCAUGCCCCUACCAGGUACAUGUGCGACGCAGGCUACACACGCUCUGUAGUGGAAAUGCAAACCAGAAUCAAAGUUUACCAUUCCCAACAGUAUGACUUGGUGGAAACACAUAACAAUUGCCUUUUGGUUUAAUCAAGUUUCAUUCAUGAGUGUUUUAGUUAUUCUAGCACAGAUGUCAGACUCUACCGCUGUUGGACCUUCAGGUAAAAACACCAGCAGUAGAGUCCUACCUCAGCCUUACCUCAGGGUGUGGACUCAACAUGAAUCCUACUGAAUGCAAUACAGUCUGACACAGCAUCGCUGCAUUCAUUCAUUCAUUCAUUCGUUAGCCUUCCUCCAGUGUUCGGUCUAAGACUCUAUCUUGCUGCUUCAAGACCUAAAGGUCUCCACGCCGAGUAUCUGUACUGCUGAUCACCACGUUCAUUGGUUAUUGAAGGGUUUUAUUCAACUUAGUCAUGCCAUGUCAAAAAUGACCACCAUAGGAAAUGAAUGGGUCUUCAUAAUGUUCCUCCAAUAACGUCUAACGGUUCGCUUGACAGACUUCACACGAUCGAUUUGACAUUGUUGGGAUGAGGAAUGCUAGAGAAAGUGGUGGAAAUCGCUAAAAGAGAGAGGCUUAUGCCAAUCUUAAUCUCUAAACUCAAGAUUAAGGCUAAAUACCAGCACAAGACGGGUGUGUAGAAGGUCUUUGAAGAAAUAGUUCAAGAGGGCGUGAAACCAAGAGGUAAACGUAGUCCGCCAACAACUCAGCGGGUCCUGGCCGUCAACCAGUCCCCACCAGUCUAAUUUCCUCCGCCGGAAAGCCUCGCUGUUACCCAGGGCCGCGUACACUAAAUACUCUAUGCGCUUACUCGUUUGGCGACCUUUGACCUAGCAUAGUCUUGGUGAGAUCUUAUGGAAACAAGCCGAGCACAAUAUUUUGUCAAGUUUGUCAAGUGCCUUUUUAUGUAUUGACUGUCGUCGACUGUCACCUGCUUAGGACGACACGUGCUUUUGUUCCACUUAAUGUAAGAGCAGGUUAAGUGCCACCAGGAACACUGGAGAAAGGCUUAAUACAUGUUUUGUUUUUUGUACUAAAAAUGUGCAGUGGUGUUGUAUUGGCUUGUAUAAUAUCCUGACUGUAGAGGCCAUGUCUUGUCUUUUUCUGUGGUCCAAAUGUUCCUUUUUAUAUGAUCAGACCUCUUUAUCGCGUUGACGGUGAUCGACGUUUGAAAUCCCCUCAGCUCGUUAGCAGCGUGCUGAUGUAAAUACAUAAAAGCGGUGUUCGCGGAGAAGUAGCACAGUCGGCGUCUAAAGCGUCAGUCGUCAAGUGGGUUAAUGAACCGAGCUGUACUUACACGUAAAAAGCCCGAGUAAUUACAACGUACAGCAGUUUAGUUUCCGGGUGACAGAGUUACUGCGUCACCGACCUGUACCUGCUCAUUUCAAGCAAAUUAGCUCAAGCUGAAUUUUUAUAUUUGAUGAAUGUUGUCAUGUUUACUGUGUUUAUCACACGUCCUGACAUAAUUGUAAAUGAUACAGUCUGCUUGUGUAUAGCAUAUAUUUGCCUUUUAAUGUGUAUUGUCCAUUGCCGAGUCAUUCAUUUGCAUGCAAAUCCUGAAUAAAUCCGUUUUUUUAAUCUCA